AUGCUUAAUUACUCUGAUGUGGGACAAAAACAGCUCCCAGGGAGAAUGAAUAAGCUGGGUUUUAAUCUGCAGGAACACACUAUAAAUUCUUCUGGCAGGUCUGCAGAGCUGGGAGGACCUGCAACACCUGCCUGGAGGAAUCUCUGGGCAACUCUCAUGUGGAUGCCCCUGGCUGGUGUUGUGGCAUCCAAAAUGCCUGGCUUGGGGGCGAGCAGGUGGUGGUGGCAGCUAAGAGGAGCCAGAAGAGGAUGGAGAGGCAGAGUCACCAUACCAACCCAUCUGAAUUCCUUCCUGACACAGCUGAGGCCCAGCUGAAGCAGCAGGCCCUCCAAAAUGCCCCUGACGAUGGACAGAUGCCCCAGUUCUCUCAGCAUCCCUGUUAACCUUGAAACCCUACCUGGUAGGCACAGCACUAUCAAAAUCUAAUCAGUGAAACCAAGCUGGGAUUUGAUCUUGGGAGCUAACAGGAGGAGGAAAAAAAAAAAAGAUGACAGUGCAAAUAUGUAUGGUUUCUAGAGGGGAGACGCGCAAAGCUGUCGUUAAUCAUCAGCAUCUCCACAGAGUAGCAAUGGGAGGACCUGGCAAAGCCUGUCAGCAUCUGUGGUAAUCCAGUUAAUUAGUGGGAAAGGACAAACUCCUCUGGAAGUACCUCAGUGACGGGCAAGCUCUCUUCCUAUUUCAUUAGGAUGAUUGCUUUAAAGGUUGCAGGCAGACCUGUGGCUCCGGAGCUCUCCCUGGCUGCACAGGCUGAUGCUGGCCAUGUUGGAGGGCAUGGGCUGGCAGGUGGUGUGGGGAGGGGAAUGCAGUGAGACAGAAGAGGGGAGUUUGAGCUCCAAACCACAGUUUGCAGGCAUUGUCUUCUCCUUCCUCUCCUGCCUUGCUCUUUCAGCAAGUUGAAAGAAAGAAAAAAGAAGGGAAAGGCUGCAAUGUGUCACAAAGGAACAGACUGGCAGACAUCUGCCUCUUGCCUUAUUUAUUUAUUUCUUAAAAAAAAAAAAAAGGAAAGAAAGAGGAAAGAGUACAGAGCCAACUCUUCACUCCAGAGCCCCCCGUUCCCUUAACAAACCAAAUGGUGGCUGUUGGCAGGGUAUUGACAGCUUGUUAAUGAAGGAAUUCUUGACAAAAUGACAACCUGUGUGGGAUGCUGUGUGAAGCAGAAUCCGCCCACAAACCAGUACUGAGUAAUUAGGAGGUGGUGAAAAUAGCAACUAACUACUGCUGGGGAGAAGAGGAAGGGGGAAGAAAAAACCUCCUAAAUUAAUUAUAAAAGCUUUUCUGAUUUGAAAAGUAUCCCUCUUCCCUUUCCCCGAGGAGACACAACAGUUUUUCCUGAACAGUCUAUUUUCUCCUUUGCAUUUCUCUUUGUGGGGCAAAAGGUGCAUUUCAAAGGACUGCACCUGGUAGCUGAGAAUGCAGUGCCUUUCCCUUCUUCAGAGACACACAGAUGGAAAUCAAACAACAAGCUGGGCUCUGGCGCAGCCCGUUCUGCUCCUCAAAGGUUUGCAUUGCUGUGCUUUUCCCUUGAUUUUUGUCUGAUUGCUUCAGGCAGGAGAGCUUGACUCUCGAUGAGUGUGUUGGGCAGAAAGGAGGGUGGGUGAUGAAGCAGCCGGGGCUCAUCAGUCACAGAGUGGGUCUCGUGGAAAGGCACAGCUUUGAGCAACAGACUGGCAUUUGUGAGAUGCAGCAGCACCGUCAUUCACUACCACAGCACUGGCAUCAGUGUUAGCAUCAGGAUCAGGUGCUAGAGCAACGGUUAGCAGCAGAGGUAGCAAAAUCCAUGGCUUCUGCUGCAAUUGUUUCAGGUCAUCCUUCCAUUGGCUCAGAAGCAAGAUAAUGUUCUCCGCCCUGUCUUAAAUGUGAUAAUUUAAUGGUUUGGAGAAAAAGAGCAAAAAUAGUUUGUGCAAUAAAAGGUGUGAGAGAUUGUUUUAAGAUGUUGAU
Molecule: long non-coding RNA, 1938 nt
Filed under: Phasianus colchicus (ring-necked pheasant)
Lineage: Eukaryota; Metazoa; Chordata; Aves; Galliformes; Phasianidae
Description: lncRNA (ENSPCLG00000004436.1)
Source: RNAcentral